AUUGGUAAAAUUAAAAUCGCACUGUUAACAUAAUUAUUUAACGGCGUUAAAUUUUAAACGUCCAAAUUGAAAUUACUAUGGGUUUUUUUAAGGAUUUUUUCCUUAGUUGGAAU
RNAcentral lists this small RNA (113 nucleotides) under Arabidopsis thaliana (thale cress). Its description in RNAcentral is "ATSL173500". The record is from RNAcentral. Lineage: Eukaryota; Viridiplantae; Streptophyta; Magnoliopsida; Brassicales; Brassicaceae.